Unclassified non-coding RNA from Pongo abelii (Sumatran orangutan), 117 nucleotides. It matches the Rfam family "Metazoan signal recognition particle RNA". Rfam says of the family: The signal recognition particle (SRP) is a universally conserved ribonucleoprotein. It is involved in the co-translational targeting of proteins to membranes. The record is from Ensembl. Lineage: Eukaryota; Metazoa; Chordata; Mammalia; Primates; Hominidae.
GCCGGGCGUGGUGGCUCACGCCUGUAAUCCCAGCAUUUCGGGAGGCCGAGGUGGGUGGAUCACCUGAGGUCGGGAGUUUGAGACCAGCCUGACCAACAUGGUGAAACCCCAUCUCUA